UCAGUCGACUCCUACGGGGAGGCAGCAGUGGGGGAAUAUUGCACAAUGGGCGCAAGCCUGAUGCAGCCAUGCCGCGUGUAUGAAGAAGGCCUUCGGGUUGUAAAGUACUUUCAGCAGUGAGGAAGGCAGGUACGUUAAUAGCGUGCUUGUUUGACGUUAGCUGCAGAAGAAGCACCGGCUAACUCCGUGCCAGCAGCCGCGGUAAUACGGAGGGUGCGAGCGUUAAUCGGAAUUACUGGGCGUAAAGCGCAUGCAGGUGGUUUGUUAAGUCAGAUGUGAAAGACCCGGGGCUCAACCUCGGAAUUGCAUUUGAAACUGGCAGACUAGAGUACUGUAGAGGGGGGUAGGAAUUUCAGGUGUAGCGGUGAAAUGCGUAGAGAUCUGAAGGAAUACCGGUGGCGAAGGCGGCCCCCUGGACAGAUACUGACACUCAGAUGCGAAAGCGUGGGGAGCAAACAGGAUUAGAUACCCUGGUAG
RNAcentral lists this ribosomal RNA (477 nucleotides) under uncultured bacterium. Its description in RNAcentral is "bacterial SSU rRNA". It matches the Rfam family "Bacterial small subunit ribosomal RNA", at positions 328 to 793 of the family's 1533-position model. The record is from RNAcentral.